CACCCCCUAACUACGUUGUCCCGAUUUUGUAGCGAAACGCAACCCGACCGGCGCCAUCGCCGCCUGAGGCAGACCUUCACCUCCUCUCGGCAAGAUGCUACCGCCGCCCGGCACAGGUGGUGGCCUCCGCCCGGCAUAGGGCGCCGCCUCCGCCAAGGACACCGCCGUCGUCCCCGUCCCCCGUUGCAGGCCACCGCGUCUGACCGCCGCAGGACGCCACCCCCGCACAGCCCAAGAUGCCACCCCCUCCCGCUCAAGCCGACGCCGCUCGACGCUCAAGCCGCCUUCGUUAAAAAGCCAGGCGCAACACGCCGCCUCCGCCCGCCGCGCAGAGCACCAAUUAUAGGCAACUGAUCAGAGUAUAGUAGGACGCUGCCUUGCAGUUUUCUUAUUUUACUAAUGCUACCAUAACACUCCCGACCGGCGCCGACACCAACGAAAGCUCCUGCCCCAAAUCCGGCGAUUUCUUUGAUGAAAAAUGCAGUACCCUCUACACCUCAGCUAUGCACAACUACAGGUACGUGGUCACUGAUCUCUGCCCUUCUGUCUACUAUAAUACAUAGCACCACUACAAGUGGAAGCUCCACACCAUUUUUUUAUGCACAAACAUGUAAUAACCCAUUCAUGUCUCCAAUGCUUCAACUUUCAAUUUCUCAACCAAACUCUUUGUACGCAGAAUAUAUGCUCUCUAAACUCUAAAGUUCCUCUCUAUAUAUGUGUAUUGUAGAAUAAUUGUGUGAACGAUUGGCUUAUCUAAUACCAGUCAAAAAUUAUUUUUAGCCUUGUCCAAUAAAAGUUACCACUGGCAGCCAGGAAGUUUGUGAAUAUCUAUAUACUCCUAACAGUGAAUAUCACAUAGUGGUGUUUCAGAUUUCGUUGAAGUUGGGGAAGAAACUAGCAUUCAAAUUUGAGGAGUGAAAUGCUACCAGGGUGAAAUUGCAGCCUUGUCAUCAUCGACGAUCUCCACAUUCAGGCUACUAAAGAACCUGAGAAGCUCUACUGUGAAUCUGUCAUUUCCUUCAAUCUCUGGUGGUCACAUCUAUUAGAGGAAUAUUGGGAGCUUAUCUACGAAAUUAGGUAAUUUUAGUUGCAGAAAGUGAACAUUAUUUGUCCACUGCUUGAUAUUAAGUGGAACAUGAAUAUUCACUUUGUGUAGACAAAUGAAUUUCGGCACUCAAGACAAUGAGACUAUGGCUUCAUAUCUAUUAAGAAGUGAAUCCAAUGAAUAUCUAACCAGGGAACUAAAUCGACUAAGCAAACUGAUUCUAUUGCUAACAAAUUGAUUUUGAG
Long non-coding RNA from Oryza brachyantha (malo sina), 1290 nucleotides. RefSeq lists it as uncharacterized. The record is from RefSeq and is a predicted model, not a curated record. The transcript has 4 exons. NCBI's taxonomy places the organism in Eukaryota, Viridiplantae, Streptophyta, Magnoliopsida, Poales, Poaceae.